GAACGGUAACAGGAAGCACUUGCUGCUUCGCUGACGAGUGGCGGACGGGUGAGUAAUGUCUGGGAAACUGCCUGAUGGAGGGGGAUAACUACUGGAAACGGUAGCUAAUACCGCAUAACGUCGCAAGACCAAAGAGGGGGACCUUCGGGCCUCUUGCCAUCGGAUGUGCCCAGAUGGGAUUAGCUAGUAGGUGGGGUAACGGCUCACCUAGGCGACGAUCCCUAGCUGGUCUGAGAGGAUGACCAGCCACACUGGAACUGAGACACGGUCCAGACUCCUACGGGAGGCAGCAGUGGGGAAUAUUGCACAAUGGGCGCAAGCCUGAUGCAGCCAUGCCGCGUGUAUGAAGAAGGCCUUCGGGUUGUAAAGUACUUUCAGCGGGGAGGAAGGCGAUAAGGUUAAUAACCUUGUCGAUUGACGUUACCCGCAGAAGAAGCACCGGCUAACUCCGUGCCAGCAGCCGCGGUAAUACGGAGGGUGCAAGCGUUAAUCGGAAUUACUGGGCGUAAAGCGCACGCAGGCGGUCUGUCAAGUCGGAUGUGAAAUCCCCGGGCUCAACCUGGGAACUGCAUUCGAAACUGGCAGGCUAGAGUCUUGUAGAGGGGGGUAGAAUUCCAGGUGUAGCGGUGAAAUGCGUAGAGAUCUGGAGGAAUACCGGUGGCGAAGGCGGCCCCCUGGACAAAAGACUGACGCUCAGGUGCGAAAGCGUGGGGGAGCAAACAGGAUUUAGAUACCCUUGGUAGUCCACGCCGUAAACGAUGUCGACUUGGAGG
Molecule: ribosomal RNA, 773 nt
Filed under: uncultured bacterium
Lineage: Bacteria
Description: bacterial SSU rRNA
Rfam family: Bacterial small subunit ribosomal RNA
Source: RNAcentral